UUAAUUAUUUGCUUUUCACUUCAGGCUGCAAUGUUGUUCAGGGUUGGAUGUUCGGCUGGCGCACCACGCUGUCAAGCGGGCGCGCCUGAAGCCGACGGGUUUGUUAUAUUCGGGGGCUAAGCAAAGGGUGGGGGCGGGCGCCGAAGCACCCAACCUGGGUCCCAGUAAUGAUCCUUCCGCAGGUUCACCUGUAAUGUAGUUAGUAUGUGUUAAAAAUGGAGCGUCGAUGUAUGUGUUUACUUACCUACGGAAA
Molecule: unclassified non-coding RNA, 253 nt
Filed under: uncultured fungus
Lineage: Eukaryota; Fungi
Description: sequence contains ITS1
Source: RNAcentral